GGGGCUGACCGGUUUUGACAGCGGGCAGAAGAGGUAUGCAAGCAUGCCGGGCUUUGAUCGCACAGCCCGUCAACAACGGCGUUCAAAACACAACUGGCGAAAAUAAUUACGCUCUCGCCGCUUAAUCGAAUUACAGUAGGUUAGGCUAAUUCCGACACUAGGUGACGGAACGGGACGUCACUCCGGAGGUCACGCCUUCAGCCGUCCGGGUACAGUGGCGCAGCAAUUGAAGGAUAGUCUGGGGAAUGCUCCGUGCCCCCGGCGAAACUCAGGAGAUAAGGUAGCGGUCGGUGGUCCUGAUCCAGCCGUUACCCGACAAUCAAGUCGGGACUAAGCAUGUAGAAACCAUAUGGCUUCCUCGUUUGGACGCGGGUUCGACUCCCGCCAGCUCCACGA
RNAcentral lists this transfer-messenger RNA (396 nucleotides) under Prolixibacteraceae. RNAcentral describes it as "UBA1413 sp001270045 Standard tmRNA". It matches the Rfam family "transfer-messenger RNA". Rfam says of the family: Bacterial tmRNA, also known as 10Sa RNA or SsrA, is named for its dual tRNA and mRNA-like properties. Its role is to liberate the mRNA from a stalled ribosome. RNAcentral also lists the same sequence under 1 other name. The record is from RNAcentral. Lineage: Bacteria; Pseudomonadati; Bacteroidota; Bacteroidia; Marinilabiliales.